Molecule: ribosomal RNA, 434 nt
Filed under: Pseudomonas sp.
Lineage: Bacteria; Pseudomonadati; Pseudomonadota; Gammaproteobacteria; Pseudomonadales; Pseudomonadaceae
Description: bacterial SSU rRNA
Rfam family: Bacterial small subunit ribosomal RNA
Source: RNAcentral
CUUGCUUCUCUUGAGAGCGGCGGACGGGUGAGUAAUGCCUAGGAAUCUGCCUGGUAGUGGGGGAUAACGUUCGGAAACGAACGCUAAUACCGCAUACGUCCUACGGGAGAAAGCAGGGGACCUUCGGGCCUUGCGCUAUCAGAUGAGCCUAGGUCGGAUUAGCUAGUUGGUGAGGUAAUGGCUCACCAAGGCUACGAUCCGUAACUGGUCUGAGAGGAUGAUCAGUCACACUGGAACUGAGACACGGUCCAGACUCCUACGGGAGGCAGCAGUGGGGAAUAUUGGACAAUGGGCGAAAGCCUGAUCCAGCCAUGCCGCGUGUGUGAAGAAGGUCUUCGGAUUGUAAAGCACUUUAAGUUGGGAGGAAGGGCAGUUACCUAAUACGUGAUUGUUUUGACGUUACCGACAGAAUAAGCACCGGCUAACUCUGUGCC